UACAGAGGUCUCAAGCGUUGUUCGGAUUCAUUGGGCGUAAAGGGUGUGUAGGUGGCGCCGUAAGUCGGGUGUGAAAUUUCGGAGCUUAACUCCGAAACUGCAUUCGAUACUGCGGUGCUUGAGGACUGGAGAGGAGACUGGAAUUCAUGGUGUAGCAGUGAAAUGCGUAGAUAUCAAGAGGAACACCUGAGGUGAAGACGGGUUGCUGGGCUGACACUGACGCUGAGGCGCGAAAGCCAGGGGAGCAAACGGG
This 253-nucleotide ribosomal RNA is filed under the name uncultured bacterium. Its description in RNAcentral is "partial 16S ribosomal RNA". It matches the Rfam family "Bacterial small subunit ribosomal RNA", at positions 524 to 776 of the family's 1533-position model. The record is from RNAcentral.